AGACCCGAAACCCGGUGAUCUAGCCAUGGGCAGGUUGAAGGUUGGGUAACACUAACUGGAGGACCGAACCGACUAAUGUUGAAAAAUUAGCGGAUGACCUGUGGCUGGGGGUGAAAGGCCAAUCAAACCGGGAGAUAGCUGGUUCUCCCCGAAAGCUAUUUAGGUAGCGCCUCGUGAAUUCAUCUCCGGGGGUAGAGCACUGUUUCGGCUAGGGGGCCAUCCCGGCUUACCAACCCGAUGCAAACUGCGAAUACCGGAGAAUGUUAUCACGGGAGACACACGGCGGGUGCUAACGUCCGUCGUGAAGAGGGAAACAACCCAGACCGCCAGCUAAGGUCCCAAAGUCAUGGUUAAGUGGGAAACGAUGUGGGAAGGCCCAGACAGCCAGGAUGUUGGCUUAGAAGCAGCCAUCAUUUAAAGAAAGCGUAAUAGCUCACUGGUCGAGUCGGCCUGCGCGGAAGAUGUAACGGGGCUAAACCAUGCACCGAAGCUGCGGCAGCGACACUCAGGUGUUGUUGGGUAGGGGAGCGUUCUGUAAGCCUGUGAAGGUGGCCUGUG
RNAcentral lists this ribosomal RNA (558 nucleotides) under Salmonella enterica. RNAcentral's name for it is "partial 23S ribosomal RNA". It matches the Rfam family "Bacterial large subunit ribosomal RNA", at positions 711 to 1265 of the family's 2925-position model. Lineage: Bacteria; Pseudomonadati; Pseudomonadota; Gammaproteobacteria; Enterobacterales; Enterobacteriaceae. RNAcentral also lists the same sequence under 3 other names. The record is from RNAcentral.